Molecule: long non-coding RNA, 2167 nt
Filed under: Homo sapiens (human)
Lineage: Eukaryota; Metazoa; Chordata; Mammalia; Primates; Hominidae
Description: HSALNT0126496
Source: RNAcentral
GGGCAGCAUGCAUGAGCCUGGCCAAAGCAUCCCAGCCCCCACUCUUAGUGCCCACGCUCCACGUAGUCGCUUACCCUGGAAGUCAAAGCCCGGAGUCACCGAUGAAUCCACGAAAGUGUCCUCUUCACUAUAGCACAGUAUGGCCUCUGCCGAGAGUGGAUGGGAAGGAAGAUGGAAUAGAAACACUUCCCUCUGCCUCCCUGGGGGUAGCCAGGCCUCUCUCUUCUAUACCAUGCCCUCCCCUGGGCCAAUGCCCGUGGGAGUCUUUGCCCACCCUAGACAUGCAGCUGGGCUUGUGAGGAGGCUCAAAUGGGGAUAUGAUAGCCUCAGCCUGGGACCGAGAGGGGGCUGUUGGGAGCAGCUUUGGGAUCUGGGGAAGGCACCCUGGGCCUGGCUUCUGGGUUCCUGUGGCAGAAGUCUUGGGAGUACCAGAAGAAAGAAGACGUAGAGGAGGGAGAGGUCAAGGUCACGAUCUCCAAGACACCCACAGGUGUCAAGGGGUUUUAGGUGAGCUUACUUCUGCAGGAAUCAGGAUCAAGAAGAGUUGUUCUAGUUUCAUUCAUAAUCUUGGCCUUUACAAUCUCUGCCAGGUUUUCAAACAGUUCCUCAUACUCUAAAGUGUAGUCUGCCUCCAGGAUGACAUCGUUCUUGACCACGAUGCUACCGUUGCUGGAAGUGGGAAUCGUUUCAUCAGUUACCCAUGUCACCACCCAGCCAGCAAGUGGAGCCCAAGCACCCAGAGUGGUAAUGGGAGAUGAAGCUGCCAUGUGACCCAGAGGUGAGAAAGAAUACAGAGUCUUCCCUCCAGCAGCUAACCACCCAGACAGAGGGAGGAGAGCGAAACGAUUCAAGAUCUCACAUAUCAGUGAUCAUGAUAAAUGCCAAUGAGUGAAAUUCAUCUCUCGCAAAAUAGUGGCUCUUGGAUGAACAAGUGGAGAAAUUUGAAUCCCUGUGUCCUGUUGAUGCGAAAGUAAAAUAGUGCAGCUGCUAUGGAAAACAGUAUGGAGCUCCUCAAAAAAUUUAAAAUAGAAUUAAUGCAUGAUCCAGCAAUUCUACUUCUGGGUAUAUAUACAAAAUAACUGAAAGCAGGUCUUGAAUUUAUAUUUGUACCCUUGUGUUUUUAGUAGCAUUAUUUACCAUAGCCAAAAGGUGGAAGCAAACCAAGGGUCCAUCAACAGACAAAUGGAGAAACAAAUGUGGUCUAUUGUGGAAUAUUAUUUAGCCUUAAAAAGGAAGUACAGGGCAGGAAGUGCGGUGGCUCAUGCCUGUCAUCCCAGCAAUUUGGGAGGCCGAGGUGGGAGGACUGCUUGAGGCCAGGAGUUCAAGACCAGCCUGGGCAACAUGAUGAGACCCCAUCUCUACAAAAAAUACAAAAAUUAGCCAGCCAAGUUAGUGCACGCUUGUAGUCCCAGCUACUCAGGACGCUACGUCAGGAGGAUGGCUUGAGCCCAGGAGUUUGAGGCUGUGUUGAGCUAUGAUUGCACCACUGCACUUCAGGCAACAGAGCAAGACCCCAUUUUUUAAAAUUUAAAAAAGAAAGAAAAAGCAAUCUCCGAAUGUUCACCCCUCUAUACUGAGGAAGAUUGUCGCCCUUCAAAACGACAUCCAUCUGAAAGAAACAAGGCAGCGAAGGUCACACAAAGCUAGAGCAUGAAGACUCUCCUGUUACCCUUCUUGAGGCAGCCCUAGGCACCUUUCUGUGGAGCCCAGGUAUGCCUUAUGUCACCCCUUGGAGAACCCAUGGAAAAUCAUUCACUGGUAACAAUUUCCAAGCUGGCACUCCCCAGACCUUUGUAGUCAAAAUGCUUAACAAAAAUUGCCUAUUUGCCUACAUUGCAGCCACUGGUCAUUAAAGAUGCCAGCUCCCUCUCCUGCUAAGCAGGUAAAGUUUGGUAGCUUUUUUCUCUGUGAGAGUAAUGACAUGGUAUCUCAUUAAAUGAAUUAAGUUGAGUCCUUUCUUGCCCAUUUACAGUGUUUACUGCUUCUACAUUCCACAUGUAUUUGGAUUUUUCUUUAAAAAGAUUAAGGUUAGGGACAAUGGCUCACACCUGUAAUCCCAGCACUUUGGGAGGCUGAGGCAGGAGGUUUGCUUGAGGCCAGGAGUUCAAGACCAGCCUGGAAAACAUAGCGAGACCCCCAUCUGUACAAACAUUUAAAAAUUAGCUGG